UCCCUGGUGGCUCAGAUGGUAAAGAAUCUGCCUGCAAUGCAGGAGACCUGGGUUCGAUUCCUGGGUUGGGAA
Molecule: transfer RNA, 72 nt
Filed under: Odocoileus virginianus texanus
Lineage: Eukaryota; Metazoa; Chordata; Mammalia; Artiodactyla; Cervidae
Also listed under: 5 other names
Rfam family: tRNA
About the family: Transfer RNA (tRNA) molecules are approximately 80 nucleotides in length. Their secondary structure includes four short double-helical elements and three loops (D, anti-codon, and T loops).
Source: Rfam by way of RNAcentral